GCCGCAGUGACUGGUCGUUGACCUGCAGCAGCAUCUCCUGUGUCCAGACCUUCUCCUUGGAGCUCAGCUGCACCAGUUUCCGGAUGGCGUCCUCCACAGACGCGAUGGCCUCACUCUUGUCCAUGAUGAACGUGGCCAGACUCCCCCAUGUGUCCCACCGCUGAAGUCAGUCAACAAUGCUUCGACAGUCGGGGAAACACUAUAUUAAAUUCCAGGUAGUCAAGACCCAGCUACAAAAGUGCUAGAAGAAAAUAGUGGAUGAUUCCUGAAGAUCUCAGAAAGGCCUUCUUCACAGAGGGACUUCCCUAAACAAGGAAGAAAAUCCAGAUGCCCAGAAGAAAAGACCGAAAAAUGUGACUUAAUCUGCUUGGGAAAAAAACAAAACAAAACAAAAAAAACACCAUAUACGAAGUAAAAAAAAAAAAAUCGGAAAAACAGAUGUAAUAGAUAUAGUGAAGGCUAGUUUUCUUAAUAUUUAUAAAGACCACUAUGCAUUACAGUGACAGCUCUUACUUGUUCAAGGCUCUACUUUGUUAAGCAAAGUUAUUAAGAAUACCGAUGAUAAAUGAAUACACAAAUGAAAAAGAUCUGUGACUAAGUAAAAUAGUAACACCCCAGUAGGAAAAUUGGCAAAAGACACGAACCGAGAGUCUCCAGGAAAACCAACAUAACUAACUUUUUAAUAUAGGAGACUGCAUAUAAUCUCAAUAAAAUAAUCGUGAGUGCAAGUCUGACGCUACUACUUCCGAAAUGAAUCAACUGCUGAACGUUUUACUUUUUUUUUCUUCAAGUUUAUCUAUUUUGAGAGAGGGAGAGAAGAGAGCAGUCCCAAGCAGAGCUGGACGUGAGGCUCGAACUCACAGACCAUCAGAUUAUGACCUGAGCCAAAAUCAAGAGUCGGAUGCGUGACCGACUGAGCCCCCCAGGUGCACUGUUUUACCUCUUCUGUUGCCCAGCGCUGACGGGUCCUUGCGGGUCACAUGUGCAGGUUAACGUGCAGAAGUGGGAUUCCCACCCUGCAUGCGCCUGGUGCUCUGGGGAGAAGCCCAGGACACCUGGAAAGGCGAACGCACGCCCUUGUCACAACUCAGAUAACCUGAACACGUGUGCGACGUGGCACGGGCACCAGGCUGCUCCCUGCAGCACUGAGUGUGACAAGAAAGGGUGGUCCCAAGCUACGUGAGCAUCAGCAGUCAGAGGGAUCAGUGGGCAGCGGGACAUAAGGCUGGCCGUCCGCGCGAGGCAGGGGGAGCCCCAAAGCACACGUUGUUAGCAAAACCCGCACAACCAAACCACAUAAAGCCACGCACCCGGCCGCAAAACAGGUCUAGCGCAUUUUGAUGGAAACCCCGCACACUGCGCUCUCUGACCAUCGUGGUGGUAAAAUAAAAGUCAGUACCGUUCGAUAACUAGAAAACCCUCAAAUAAUUGGAAAUUCAGCAACACGCUCCUACAUAACAACCGAUGGGUGAACGAAGGCACGAGAGAAAGAAGAAAAUACUCAAGAGACAAACGAAAACGAAAACACAGCACAGCACAACGUAGAGACGCAGCACGAGCAGCGGGCGGGGGCGUUUGGAGCUGCAAAUGCUCACACGGUCCCCAGGGAAAGGCAGAAGAUGUUCCGAACUGGAUGACAAUAAAGGCAUGGGCAUCAGACUUGCAGGAUUUCGCUAAAGGAGUUCAUGGAGGGGGACGUACGGCCUUAAAUGAAUAUUAGAAAAGAAGGGAUGUUUGGGGCACCUGGAGGGCUCGGUUGGUUGAGCGUCUGACCUCGGCUCAGGUCAUGAUCUCACAGUUUGUCAGUUCGAUCCCCGAGUCGGGCUGGCUGCCGUCAGCACGGAGCCUGUUUCGGACCCUCUGCCCUCGCCCCCUCUCUCUCUGUCCCUCCUCCGCCUUGCAUAUGCUCUCUCUCUCUCUCUCUC
This is a long non-coding RNA of Neofelis nebulosa (Clouded leopard), 1925 nucleotides long. RefSeq lists it as uncharacterized. Lineage: Eukaryota; Metazoa; Chordata; Mammalia; Carnivora; Felidae. The record is from RefSeq and is a predicted model, not a curated record. The transcript has 2 exons.